AGUGAACGCUGGCGGCAGGCCUAAUACAUGCAAGUCGAGCGGGGAGCAAUCCCAGCGGCGAACGGGUGAGUAACACGUGGGUAAUGUGCCUUCUGGUGGGGAAUAACCUUGGGAAACCAGGGCUAAUACCGCAUAUCGUGCUUCGGCAUGAAAGCCUUCGGGCGCCAGUAGAGCAGCCUGCGUCCCAUUAUUUAGUCCUAGUUGGUAGGGUAAUGGCCUACCAAGGGUACGAUGGGUAGCUGGUCUGAGAGGAUGAUCAGCCACACUGGAACUGAGACACGGCCCAGACUCCUACGGGAGGCAGCAGUGGGGAAUUUUGGACAAUGGGCGCAAGCCUGAUCCAGCCACGCCGCGUGCGGGAAGAAGGCCU
RNAcentral lists this ribosomal RNA (370 nucleotides) under uncultured bacterium. RNAcentral's name for it is "bacterial SSU rRNA". It matches the Rfam family "Bacterial small subunit ribosomal RNA", at positions 29 to 417 of the family's 1533-position model. The record is from RNAcentral.